Molecule: transfer RNA, 72 nt
Filed under: Marmota monax (woodchuck)
Lineage: Eukaryota; Metazoa; Chordata; Mammalia; Rodentia; Sciuridae
Description: tRNA.Ala
Rfam family: tRNA
About the family: Transfer RNA (tRNA) molecules are approximately 80 nucleotides in length. Their secondary structure includes four short double-helical elements and three loops (D, anti-codon, and T loops). Further hydrogen bonds mediate the characteristic L-shaped molecular structure. tRNAs have two regions of fundamental functional importance: the anti-codon, which is responsible for specific mRNA codon recognition, and the 3' end, to which the tRNAs corresponding amino acid is attached (by aminoacyl-tRNA synthetases). tRNAs cope with the degeneracy of the genetic code in two manners: having more than one tRNA (with a specific anti-codon) for a particular amino acid; and 'wobble' base-pairing, i.e. permitting non-standard base-pairing at the 3rd anti-codon position.
Source: RNAcentral
GGUGUUGUGGCUCAGUGGUCCAGCGCACGCCUUGCACGUGUGAGGCACUGGGUUCAAUCCUCAGCACUACAU